Molecule: ribosomal RNA, 2622 nt
Filed under: Escherichia coli
Lineage: Bacteria; Pseudomonadati; Pseudomonadota; Gammaproteobacteria; Enterobacterales; Enterobacteriaceae
Description: partial 23S ribosomal RNA
Rfam family: Bacterial large subunit ribosomal RNA
Source: RNAcentral
GUUAAGCGACUAAGCGUACACGGUGGAUGCCCUGGCAGUCAGAGGCGAUGAAGGACGUGCUAAUCUGCGAUAAGCGUCGGUAAGGUGAUAUGAACCGUUAUAACCGGCGAUUUCCGAAUGGGGAAACCCAGUGUGAUUCGUCACACUAUCAUUAACUGAAUCCAUAGGUUAAUGAGGCGAACCGGGGGAACUGAAACAUCUAAGUACCCCGAGGAAAAGAAAUCAACCGAGAUUCCCCCAGUAGCGGCGAGCGAACGGGGAGCAGCCCAGAGCCUGAAUCAGUGUGUGUGUUAGUGGAAGCGUCUGGAAAGGCGCGCGAUACAGGGUGACAGCCCCGUACACAAAAAUGCACAUGCUGUGAGCUCGAUGAGUAGGGCGGGACACGUGGUAUCCUGUCUGAAUAUGGGGGGACCAUCCUCCAAGGCUAAAUACUCCUGACUGACCGAUAGUGAACCAGUACCGUGAGGGAAAGGCGAAAAGAACCCCGGCGAGGGGAGUGAAAAAGAACCUGAAACCGUGUACGUACAAGCAGUGGGAGCACGCUUAGGCGUGUGACUGCGUACCUUUUGUAUAAUGGGUCAGCGACUUAUAUUCUGUAGCAAGGUUAACCGAAUAGGGGAGCCGAAGGGAAACCGAGUCUUAACUGGGCGUUAAGUUGCAGGGUAUAGACCCGAAACCCGGUGAUCUAGCCAUGGGCAGGUUGAAGGUUGGGUAACACUAACUGGAGGACCGAACCGACUAAUGUUGAAAAAUUAGCGGAUGACUUGUGGCUGGGGGUGAAAGGCCAAUCAAACCGGGAGAUAGCUGGUUCUCCCCGAAAGCUAUUUAGGUAGCGCCUCGUGAAUUCAUCUCCGGGGGUAGAGCACUGUUUCGGCAAGGGGGUCAUCCCGACUUACCAACCCGAUGCAAACUGCGAAUACCGGAGAAUGUUAUCACGGGAGACACACGGCGGGUGCUAACGUCCGUCGUGAAGAGGGAAACAACCCAGACCGCCAGCUAAGGUCCCAAAGUCAUGGUUAAGUGGGAAACGAUGUGGGAAGGCCCAGACAGCCAGGAUGUUGGCUUAGAAGCAGCCAUCAUUUAAAGAAAGCGUAAUAGCUCACUGGUCGAGUCGGCCUGCGCGGAAGAUGUAACGGGGCUAAACCAUGCACCGAAGCUGCGGCAGCGACACUGUGUGUUGUUGGGUAGGGGAGCGUUCUGUAAGCCUGCGAAGGUGUGCUGUGAGGCAUGCUGGAGGUAUCAGAAGUGCGAAUGCUGACAUAAGUAACGAUAAAGCGGGUGAAAAGCCCGCUCGCCGGAAGACCAAGGGUUCCUGUCCAACGUUAAUCGGGGCAGGGUGAGUCGACCCCUAAGGCGAGGCCGAAAGGCGUAGUCGAUGGGAAACAGGUUAAUAUUCCUGUACUUGGUGUUACUGCGAAGGGGGGACGGAGAAGGCUAUGUUGGCCGGGCGACGGUUGUCCCGGUUUAAGCGUGUAGGCUGGUUUUCCAGGCAAAUCCGGAAAAUCAAGGCUGAGGCGUGAUGACGAGGCACUACGGUGCUGAAGCAACAAAUGCCCUGCUUCCAGGAAAAGCCUCUAAGCAUCAGGUAACAUCAAAUCGUACCCCAAACCGACACAGGUGGUCAGGUAGAGAAUACCAAGGCGCUUGAGAGAACUCGGGUGAAGGAACUAGGCAAAAUGGUGCCGUAACUUCGGGAGAAGGCACGCUGAUACGUAGGUGAAGUCCCUCGCGGAUGGAGCUGAAAUCAGUCGAAGAUACCAGCUGGCUGCAACUGUUUAUUAAAAACACAGCACUGUGCAAACACGAAAGUGGACGUAUACGGUGUGACGCCUGCCCGGUGCCGGAAGGUUAAUUGAUGGGGUCAGCGCAAGCGAAGCUCUUGAUCGAAGCCCCGGUAAACGGCGGCCGUAACUAUAACGGUCCUAAGGUAGCGAAAUUCCUUGUCGGGUAAGUUCCGACCUGCACGAAUGGCGUAAUGAUGGCCAGGCUGUCUCCACCCGAGACUCAGUGAAAUUGAACUCGCUGUGAAGAUGCAGUGUACCCGCGGCAAGACGGAAAGACCCCGUGAACCUUUACUAUAGCUUGACACUGAACAUUGAGCCUUGAUGUGUAGGAUAGGUGGGAGGCUUUGAAGUGUGGACGCCAGUCUGCAUGGAGCCGACCUUGAAAUACCACCCUUUAAUGUUUGAUGUUCUAACGUUGACCCGUAAUCCGGGUUGCGGACAGUGUCUGGUGGGUAGUUUGACUGGGGCGGUCUCCUCCUAAAGAGUAACGGAGGAGCACGAAGGUUGGCUAAUCCUGGUCGGACAUCAGGAGGUUAGUGCAAUGGCAUAAGCCAGCUUGACUGCGAGCGUGACGGCGCGAGCAGGUGCGAAAGCAGGUCAUAGUGAUCCGGUGGUUCUGAAUGGAAGGGCCAUCGCUCAACGGAUAAAAGGUACUCCGGGGAUAACAGGCUGAUACCGCCCAAGAGUUCAUAUCGACGGCGGUGUUUGGCACCUCGAUGUCGGCUCAUCACAUCCUGGGGCUGAAGUAGGUCCCAAGGGUAUGGCUGUUCGCCAUUUAAAGUGGUACGCGAGCUGGGUUUAGAACGUCGUGAGACAGUUCGGUCCCUAUCUGCCGUGG